RNAcentral lists this ribosomal RNA (909 nucleotides) under Pichia membranifaciens. RNAcentral's name for it is "LSU rRNA". It matches the Rfam family "Eukaryotic large subunit ribosomal RNA", at positions 36 to 964 of the family's 3401-position model. The record is from RNAcentral. Lineage: Eukaryota; Fungi; Ascomycota; Pichiomycetes; Pichiales; Pichiaceae.
UAGCAUAUCAAUAAGCGGAGGAAAAGAAACCAACAGGGAUUGCCCCAGUAGCGGCGAGUGAAGCGGCAAGAGCUCAGAUUUGAAAUCGUGCUAAUUUUUUUGGCACGAGUUGUAGAGUGUAGGCGGGAGUCUUUGUGGAGCACGGUGUCCAAGUCCCUUGGAACAGGGCGCCUGAGAGGGUGAGAGCCCCGUGGGGUGCCGUGCGAAGCUCUGAGGGCCCCUGCUGACGAGUCGAGUUGUUUGGGAAUGCAGCUCCAAGUGGGUGGUAAAUUCCAUCUAAGGCUAAAUACUGGCGAGAGACCGAUAGCGAACAAGUACUGUGAAGGAAAGAUGAAAAGCACUUUGAAAAGAGAGUGAAACAGCACGUGAAAUUGUUGAAAGGGAAGGGUAUUGGGCCCGACAUGGGGAGUGCGCACCGCUGUCUCUUGUAGGCGGCGCUCUGGGCGCUCUCUGGGCCAGCAUCGGUUCUUGCUGCGGGAGAAUGGGUGCCGGAAAGUGGCUCUUCGGAGUGUUAUAGCCGGCGCCAGAUACCGCGUGCGGGGACCGAGGACUGCGGCUUCUGUCUCGGAUGCUGGCACAACGGCGCAAUACCGCCCGUCUUGAAACAUGGACCAAGGAGUCUAACGUCUAUGCGAGUGUUUGGGUGUAAAACCCGUACGCGUAAUGAAAGUGAACGUAGGUCGGACCCCUUCGGGGGGCACGAUCGACCGAUCCUGAUGUUUAUCGGAUGGAUUUGAGUAAGAGCAUAGCUGUUGGGACCCGAAAGAUGGUGAACUAUGCCUGAAUAGGGUGAAGCCAGAGGAAACUCUGGUGGAGGCUCGUAGCGGUUCUGACGUGCAAAUCGAUCGUCGAAUUUGGGUAUAGGGGGCGAAAGACUAAUCGAACCAUCUAGUAGCUGGUUCCUGCCGA